UCCAGACUCCUACGGGAGGCAGCAGUGGGGAAUAUUGCACAAUGGGGGGAACCCUGAUGCAGCGACGCCGCGCGGGUGAAGGAGUACUUCGGUACGUAAAGCCCUAUCAGCAGGAAAGAAAAUGACGGUACCUGACUAAGAAGCCCCGGCUAACUACGUGCCAGCAGCCGCGGUAAUACGUAGGGGGCAAGCGUUAUCCGGAUUUACUGGGUGUAAAGGGAGCGUAGACGGCAGUGCAAGUCUGGAGUGAAAGCCCGGGGCCCAACCCCGGAACUGCUCUGGAAACUGUGCGGCUAGAGUACUGGAGGGGCAGGCGGAAUUCCUAGUGUAGCGGUGAAAUGCGUAGAUAUUAGGAGGAACACCAGUGGCGAAGGCGGCCUGCUGGACAGUAACUGACGUUGAGGCUCGAAAGCGUGGGGAGCAAACAGGAUUAGAUACCCCAGUAUCU
This 448-nucleotide ribosomal RNA is filed under the name uncultured bacterium. Its description in RNAcentral is "partial 16S ribosomal RNA". It matches the Rfam family "Bacterial small subunit ribosomal RNA", at positions 330 to 795 of the family's 1533-position model. The record is from RNAcentral.